GUAUGGAAACCUACUAAGUGAUAACUUUCAAUUCAGGGAAACCCCGGAAUUAAUAAAAAUGGGCAAUCCUGAGCCAAAUCCUGUUUUCUCAAAACAAAGGUUCAGAAAGCAAAAAAGGGAUAGGUGCAGAGACUCAACGGAAGCUGUUCUAACAAAUGGAGUUGACUAUGUUGGUAGAGGAAUCUUUCCAUCAAAACUUCAGAAAGGAUGAAGGAUAAAUGUAUCUAUUGAAAACUAUAUCAAAUGAUUAAUGAUGGCCCAAAUUCUGUAUCUGUUUUUUUUAUAUGAAAAAUGGAAGAAUUGAUGUGAAUUGAUUCCAUAUUGAAGAAAGAAUCAAAUAUUCAUUCAUCAAAUCAUUCACUCCACAGUCUGGUAGUUCUUUUAAAGAACUGAUAAUCGGACGAGAAUAAAGAUAGAGUCCCAUUCUACAUGUCAAUACCGGCAACAAUUAAAUUUAUAGUAAGAGGAAAAUCCGUCGACUUUAAAAUCGUGAGGGUUCAAGUCCCUCUAUCCCCAAAGAAACUAUUUUAUUUGACUCCCAAAAUCCUUAUCCUACCCUCUCUCCUUCGGUUACAAAUUUCUUUUCUGCGUCUUUGACAAACGAAGUUGGGCAUAAACGUAAAUGACUUUAUCUUCUCCCAUGUGAUAUAGAAUACACAUCAAAAUUUAGAAAAAAAUCCCGAUUCGAAUGAAUUCACAAUCAAUAGCUUUACGAAUACUGAAACUCAUAAAGUGAUCUUUUUGGAAAUCAAAGAAAUUGAAGUAUUUGGAGAAAAAUUUGUAAUCCCCCCUUUCCCUUUAAUUGACAUAGACCCCGUUUAUCGACUAAAAUAAUCAAAUGCGUAUGGAUUACUACGCUGGGAAUGGUCGGGAUAGCUCAGCC
This 883-nucleotide unclassified non-coding RNA is filed under the name Utricularia meyeri. RNAcentral describes it as "partial contains tRNA-Leu (trnL) gene and trnL-trnF spacer region". The stretch from base 1 to 442 matches the Rfam family "Group I catalytic intron", at positions 27 to 253 of the family's 253-position model. Rfam says of the family: Group I catalytic introns are large self-splicing ribozymes. They catalyse their own excision from mRNA, tRNA and rRNA precursors in a wide range of organisms. Lineage: Eukaryota; Viridiplantae; Streptophyta; Magnoliopsida; Lamiales; Lentibulariaceae. The record is from RNAcentral.